Molecule: ribosomal RNA, 476 nt
Filed under: uncultured organism
Description: partial 16S ribosomal RNA
Rfam family: Bacterial small subunit ribosomal RNA
Source: RNAcentral
UACACUCCUACGGGAGGCAGCAGUGGGGAAUUUUGGACAAUGGGCGAAAGCCUGAUCCAGCAAUGCCGCGUGCAGGAUGAAGGCCUUCGGGUUGUAAACUGCUUUUGUACGGAACGAAAAAGCUCCUUCUAAUACAGGGGGCCCAUGACGGUACCGUAAGAAUAAGCACCGGCUAACUACGUGCCAGCAGCCGCGGUAAUACGUAGGGUGCGAGCGUUAAUCGGAAUUACUGGGCGUAAAGCGUGCGCAGGCGGUUAUGUAAGACAGAUGUGAAAUCCCCGGGCUCAACCUGGGAACUGCAUUUGUGACUGCAUGGCUAGAGUACGGUAGAGGGGGAUGGAAUUCCGCGUGUAGCAGUGAAAUGCGUAGAUAUGCGGAGGAACACCGAUGGCGAAGGCAAUCCCCUGGACCUGUACUGACGCUCAUGCACGAAGGCGUGGGGAGCAAACAGGAUUAGAAACCCGAGUAGUCCCAUG